Non-coding RNA from Durio zibethinus, 309 nucleotides. The record is from RefSeq and is a predicted model, not a curated record. NCBI's taxonomy places the organism in Eukaryota, Viridiplantae, Streptophyta, Magnoliopsida, Malvales, Malvaceae.
GGGUAUCAGACGAGGGCUUAAGCAUUUUCUCCAUGAUUAUGAUCUCAAGCUUAUGUAUGGGAUUUAUAAGGCAUCCUCUUCUGGUGGCAUGAAACUUGAGCCAAAGGCUUUUGGUGGGGCUUUCCCCGCUCAGUGUCCAUGCUGAUUGUUUUCUGCAGAGAGCAUUUUCAAGAAGGCAAUGUUCAAAUUAAGAUCUGCAACAGCUUUAGUAGACAGGAGUAUAUAUCAUAUAUGCUUGUGGGUCUUGCGUUUGAGUCUACUCUUUUUCUCUUGAAUGGUUCUUCAGCCAACAUCUUUAAUCCUUUCUUU